Molecule: ribosomal RNA, 431 nt
Filed under: uncultured bacterium
Lineage: Bacteria
Description: partial 16S ribosomal RNA
Rfam family: Bacterial small subunit ribosomal RNA
Source: RNAcentral
AACGAACGCUGGCGGCAGGCCUAACACAUGCAAGUCGAGCGCCCCGCGAGGGGAGCGGCGGACGGGUGAGUAACGCGUGGGAAUAUGCCCUUUGCUACGGAAUAGUCUCGGGAAACUGGGGGUAAUACCGUAUACGCCCUUUGGGGGAAAGAUUUAUCGGCGAAGGAUUAGCCCGCGUUGGAUUAGGUAGUUGGUGGGGUAAUGGCCUACCAAGCCGACGAUCCAUAGCUGGUUUGAGAGGAUGAUCAGCCACACUGGGACUGAGACACGGCCCAGACUCCUACGGGAGGCAGCAGUGGGGAAUCUUAGACAAUGGGGGCAACCCUGAUCUAGCCAUGCCGCGUGAGUGAUGAAGGCCUUAGGGUUGUAAAGCUCUUUCAGCUGGGAAGAUAAUGACGGUACCAGCAGAAGAAGCCCCGGCUAACUCCGUG